CAUGCCGUAAACGUUGGGAACUAGAUGUAGGGACCAUUCCACGGUUUCUGUGUCGCAGCUAACGCAUUAAGUUCCCCGCCUGGGGAGUACGGCCGCAAGGCUAAAACUCAAAGGAAUUGACGGGGGCCCGCACAAGCGGCGGAGCAUGCGGAUUAAUUCGAUGCAACGCGAAGAACCUUACCAAGGCUUGACAUAUACGAGAACGGGCCAGAAAUGGUCAACUCUUUGGACACUCGUAAACAGGUGG
Molecule: ribosomal RNA, 247 nt
Filed under: uncultured Leifsonia sp.
Lineage: Bacteria; Bacillati; Actinomycetota; Actinomycetes; Micrococcales; Microbacteriaceae
Description: partial 16S ribosomal RNA
Rfam family: Bacterial small subunit ribosomal RNA
Source: RNAcentral